AACGAACGCUGGCGGCGUGCCUAGUACAUGCAAGUAGAACGCCGAAGAGAGGAGCUUGCUCUUCUUGGAUGAGUUGCGAACGGGUGAGUAACGCGUAGGUAACCUGCCUUGUAGCGGGGGAUAACUAUUGGAAACGAUAGCUAAUACCGCAUAACAAUGGAUGACACAUGUCAUUUAUUUGAAAGGGGCAAUUGCUCCACUACAAGAUGGACCUGCGUUGUAUUAGCUAGUAGGUGAGGUAAUGGCUCACCUAGGCGACGAUACAUAGCCGACCUGAGAGGGUGAUCGGCCACACUGGGACUGAGACACGGCCCAGACUCCUACGGGAGGCAGCAGUAGGGAAUCUUCGGCAAUGGGGGCAACCCUGACCGAGCAACGCCGCGUGAGUGAAGAAGGUUUUCGGAUCGUAAAGCUCUGUUGUAAGUCAAGAACGGGUGUGAGAGUGGAAAGUUCACACUGUGACGGUAGCUGACCAGAAAGGGACGGCUAACUACGUG
This 497-nucleotide ribosomal RNA is filed under the name uncultured bacterium. Its description in RNAcentral is "partial 16S ribosomal RNA". It matches the Rfam family "Bacterial small subunit ribosomal RNA", at positions 29 to 507 of the family's 1533-position model. The record is from RNAcentral.